AAUUUUUCAGAUGAUGGUAUUACAUACUGGUAUCCUUUUAGUUGUUGGUUCAUCCAGCUUGCCACUUUUUUCUCCAGAUUGUACAUUGGUGCUCUUCCUUUUUCCACUAUAGGCCUAAGAGCCAGCAGGGUCUUAUGGGUCUUGGUGUAACUAAAGAGCCUAGAACAUGCAGGGUUACAGAUUCUAUUUAUCUUGAGGAAGGAAGGCAAAGCUUUGUUUUUCAAUAUGGUAGUCAUUUGCCUGUCUAAUGCUUCAGUGAGGUCUGUAGCGAGCAACUCCUCAUGGAUGUCAAGUAUAUAUCUGUUCAAAUGUUCUUCAUAUGUUUCUUCAUCUAAUAGCACAACCUUCUUGGAUUUGUUGUCUCUGGUUAUGGCUACUUUAUUUUCUUAAUCCAUCUGUGCACUUUCUUAAGAAGCGUCCUGUUCUCUAUUACCCACUGCGUCUGACUUCUGCUCCGAUUUCUAUGGCUCAUGACUUCCUCCGUGAAUAUCCACCUAUAUCUUUCUUUGUCCAGAUCAUGCAUGUUUCCCAAUAUUCGCUCAAACGGGAGUAUGAGGUCCUCAAAGCAUUUAAUGUUUCUUAUGGGACAGGAGGGGCCUAGUUUAAGAACUUGCUCGAUGUACUCUGGCAGUUCUAAGUUCCCUACAAUAAUCACUACAUCCUCUAGUUCUAUCUUCUGCCUAUUAUGGGUCUGUCUAAGUUGAGUCUUUAAUAACCAUUUCAAUUUCUUUUGUACUUGCGAAUAGCAACCGGCCGUCCGUGCUGUUGACGCC
Molecule: long non-coding RNA, 773 nt
Filed under: Androctonus crassicauda
Lineage: Eukaryota; Metazoa; Arthropoda; Arachnida; Scorpiones; Buthidae
Source: RNAcentral